Molecule: ribosomal RNA, 484 nt
Filed under: uncultured bacterium
Lineage: Bacteria
Description: partial 16S ribosomal RNA
Rfam family: Bacterial small subunit ribosomal RNA
Source: RNAcentral
AUUGAACGCUGGCGGCAGGCCUAACACAUGCAAGUCGAGCGAAUGAAGGAAGAUUGCUCCUGGCUUCAGCGGCGGACGGGUGAGUAAUUCAUAGGAAUCUGCCUGGUAGUUGGGGAUAACGUCAGGAAACGGGAGCUAAUACCGCAUACGUUCUGAGGUAGAAAGUGAGGGAUCUUCGGACCUCACGCUAUCAGAUGAGCCUAGGUCGGAUUAGCUAGUUGGUGGGGUAAAGGCCUACCAAGGCGACGAUCCGUAGCUGGUCUGAGAGGAUGAUCAGUCACACUGGAACUGAGACACGGUCCAGACUCCUACGGGAGGCAGCAGUAGGGAAUAUUGGACAAUGGGCGAAAGCCUGAUCCAGCCAUGCCGCGUGUGUGAAGAAGGUCUUCGGAUUGUAAAGCUCUUUAAGUUGGGAGGAAGGGCAGUAAGUUAAUACCUUGCUGUUUUGACGUUACCAACAGAAUAAGCACCGGCUAACUUCGUG